This 447-nucleotide ribosomal RNA is filed under the name uncultured bacterium. RNAcentral describes it as "bacterial SSU rRNA". It matches the Rfam family "Bacterial small subunit ribosomal RNA", at positions 329 to 793 of the family's 1533-position model. The record is from RNAcentral.
UUCCAGACUCCUACGGGAGGCAGCAGUAGGGAAUUUUGCGCAAUGGGCGAAAGCCUGACGCAGCAACGCCGCGUGAUCGAGACGCCCUUCGGGGUGUAAAGAUCUGUCAGUGGGGACGAAACUUGACGGUACCCACAGAGGAAGCACCGGCUAACUCCGUGCCAGCAGCCGCGGUAAUACGUAGGUGGCAAGCGUUAUCCGGAUUUACUGGGUGUAAAGGGCGUGUAGGCGGGGACGCAAGUCAGAUGUGAAAACCACGGGCUCAACCUGUGGCCUGCAUUUGAAACUGUGUUUCUUGAGUACUGGAGAGGCAGACGGAAUUCCUAGUGUAGCGGUGAAAUGCGUAGAUAUUAGGAGGAACACCAGUGGCGAAGGCGGCUUGCUGGACCGUAACUGACGUUGAGGCUCGAAAGCGUGGGGAGCAAACAGGAUUAGAUACCCCCGUAC